AACGCUGGCGGCAUGCCUAGCACAUGCAAGUCGAACGAGACCUUCGGGUCUAGUGGCGCACGGGUGCGUAACGCGUGGGAACCUGCCCUUAGGUUCGGAAUAACUCCCCGAAAGGGGUGCUAAUACCGGAUAAUGUCUUCGGACCAAAGAUUUAUCGCCUUUGGAUGGGCCCGCGUUGGAUUAGCUAGUUGGUAGGGUAAAAGCCUACCAAGGCGACGAUCCAUAGCUGGUCUGAGAGGAUGAUCAGCCACACUGGGACUGAGACACGGCCCAGACUCCUACGGGAGGCAGCAGUGGGGAAUAUUGGACAAUGGGCGAAAGCCUGAUCCAGCAAUGCCGCGUGAGUGAUGAAGGCCUUAGGGUUGUAAAGCUCUUUUACCCGGGAUGAUAAUGACAGUACCGGGAGAAUAAGCUCCGGCUAACUCCGUG
RNAcentral lists this ribosomal RNA (429 nucleotides) under uncultured bacterium. RNAcentral describes it as "partial 16S ribosomal RNA". It matches the Rfam family "Bacterial small subunit ribosomal RNA", at positions 32 to 507 of the family's 1533-position model. The record is from RNAcentral.